AGAAAGGGUGGGGUUAUAAAUCGAGAAAAUGAAGCACUACAUGAGGGCUGAGGUGCAGGGGAUCUGAAAUAAUGACUCAGAAGUAAUGAGGCAGACUGAAAGGACCAGUUUCCCCUUUGUCUUUAUCUCAUGUGGUUGCCAUGAAGACUGGAUUGAGUGGGGAAGUUGCAGGCCAUUCUAGGUCGGUUUUCACACCACAGAAAUGGGGGCUACACGGGGGAUCUAGGUCAUCAGCGUGCCUUCUAAAGUACCCACAGAGAGGACCUGAGAGGUGUUUUAUCAUCAGCUCAUAUCAGCCCCAUUGUACCUCAUCCCUCAUGCAUAGCACACCUAGAACCUUCUAGUUGCAACAGUCUUAAUACACAAAAAGCUAAGGUCACCUUGUUCUGGUGGCUUUUCUGGACCGGGGUAAACAGAAAUGCUUUUUGGUCAAGAGAAAACUGAGCUCCUUUCUAGGUAGAAUAUUACAUCGAAAAGAGCUUUCCCCCGGUCUGUUUAUCCCACGAGGAACUUCUGUGUUUCUUCUUGUCCUCCAAAGCUGACCCCAAAGCUCUCCAGGGCCUGUCUUAGGAAACAGCACCUGUCCUGCUGUUUAGAGUCUUAGAUGGAAAUGUACACACACAACACAUGUGCCUGUCAAAGCAUCCCCGAACUUCCUGCCCAGGAAUCCGGGAGGUAGUCAUCCAGGAGGAGGUAGUCAUGGGGGAAGGAGCCCCUGUAAUGAGACAAGUCAAGCCCCAGGUCUCCACGAAACCAGAGCCUUUUCCCACCCCAGUACCUCCGUUCCCCUUUCCCUUCCGCUGUGUACACAUUUGACCAGAACUGCAACAUUUCAAACGUAAACCCAGAUCUGCCUGGAAAUCCUAAUUAAAAACCUUCCGUUCCCAGGUGGUACAAUCACAUCCUGCCUAAAGUGUCUGGCUCACGUCCCACCACGCAGAUGCCGAAAAGAGACCUUUCCCCACUUAACACCAAAACCUUCAUUUGGGAUUUCUUCAGGGGACAAAGGGAAAAAAAACCAAUUCAGAAUUCAGAGGUACCCAUAUGCAGAGGUCAGCCUACAACACAUUCAUUAAGGGAAAAGAGCGUGGUUUGUUUCUCUGUCUUUCACACUUUGAUUGCUGGCAUGGCGACUGUGGCUAUGAUAAACUGUGUAACCAGACAGGAACUGGAGAAGAGAAUAAAUGCUGGUGCUCUGAAAUGACCUACCCAACCCUGUCAUCUGUAACAACCAGUGAUAACACUCUUGUCUUGUAAAAAGGGUUUGUACAUAACUUGUACAUGGUUUCAUUUUGUAUUUUUCGCAGAUUAAAAAUUUAUGUAUUUGUGUUCUAAAA
RNAcentral lists this long non-coding RNA (1337 nucleotides) under Mus pahari (shrew mouse). Its description in RNAcentral is "lncRNA (MGP_PahariEiJ_G0006374.1)". The record is from RNAcentral. Lineage: Eukaryota; Metazoa; Chordata; Mammalia; Rodentia; Muridae.